RNAcentral lists this unclassified non-coding RNA (6063 nucleotides) under Drosophila ananassae. RNAcentral describes it as "GF15685". Lineage: Eukaryota; Metazoa; Arthropoda; Insecta; Diptera; Drosophilidae. The record is from RNAcentral.
ACGGAAACUGAUUAAAGAGAAAUGGAAAGAAUAUAUUUGUUUAAAUUUGUCAAAGGAAAUUUUCUAAAAUCAUUGACCUUUUGAGUGCGGCGUCUAGGGUUUGGGCAGCUCUACAACCCUGGCCUCGACGUAUACCUUUUAUGCGCAAAAAAAGUGAAGAAUCGGAGGAAAACGCAGACGGAAACCAUUGAAUUUAUCCAUGAAUCUCAUUUUGAAGUUAACCGAAAAUAGCAUUUUAUGGUGAUCGCACCUGAAGCCAACAUAAAACGCAACGUGGCAGUGAUAUUUGAACGAUGAAAGCACGCAAAAAAUAAAAACCAAAAAACUUCCGCAGACGUCAGCAAGUACCGAGCAAGCAGGCUAAUAAGAAAAAAGAAUAAAUAAACGCGAGUCUGAUACAGAUAAAAUAUAAUGAAAAUAGAAAAUAAAUAUUAGCAGAAGUAGUGUGAUAUUUGUGGGCGGCAACCUGUGCCGUUGUCAUGCAUUUUGUUACACAGCAACGGGCACAAAGUCAGCACCAGCACCAGCCGCAGAAAUCCAAUCCCUCGUCUAGCUCCUCGCUGGCCUCCACAUCUUCCAUCUCCUCCUGUUCUGGAUCUGGAUCUGGAUCGGGCUCGGGAGCAGGGUCGUCACGGUUCGUGGCCCUUCGAAAAUCAGCCAGCCAGGGUGCCCUGCCCAAGUCCUUGGCCACCGCCCAGAGCCUCUUCCUUCGUCCUUCGGCGCAAAGUAAACACAAACGCACUGCCAGCUUGAAUGCGGCGCCCAUGAUUAAAGAUAUUGAUAUAACCGACCCAACAACAUCCAGUGUUAUCCUAACCGCUGCGACUCCCGAUAGUCCGAGCGGUAGUAAGACCCCCGCCAAUGCCAACAUGAUACCCGAGACCACCCAGCCCGAUCAGCUCCAGUCACAGUCACAGUUACAGUCACAGCCACAGUCGCUGUCGCAAACUCAAACACAGUCACAGCUCCAGGAUAAUCCGCUCCUGGACACUCCACAGAAUCCCCAGCAGCAAACGCAGCCGGAGGAGAAGGAGGAGAAGCAGGCGGAUGCCAAGUCCGAUGAGAGCAGUGCUGGCGACAGGCGCGACUCCAUCACCGAGGAGAUCACGAUUACGACCACCACCACCACCAGUACUCUGAGCACCAAGCUACUGACCAUCCAGGAAGCCGCCGGCACCCUCGAACAGAGCAGCCUAUCCAAAUCGUCGUCCUCCAAACAGAUCGCUUCCACGACAGCCGGUGGAUCGCCGCCCAGCAGUGCCCGUCUCUCGCCAAAGCAGCGGCAUGACUCCAGCGGCAGCAGUCCUAGCCUAGGACAAACUGCCACUUCCACGAGUCCGUGCGCCACUUCCAGUCCCCUGAAUGCCUCCUCCCAGGGCGCCACGCCCAGCAUAAAUAUCGUGUCCAGCGACUCGAACCGGGAUCAGCAGCCACUCCAGUCGCAGAGCGUCGACUCGAACGGGUUCAGCGGCGCUCCGAGCGGCGGCGGAUGCCUCACGGAUAGCCCCAGCAGCCGCAAGAGCUCCACCAGUUCCAAGGGGAAGGCGAGCCAGCCCAAGUUGUCCACCUCCAGCAGCGGACGUGAUGAGCAGGACAUCUCCCAGCACCGGCUGAGCGACCUCACUCCCCACGAGCUGAGCCUCCUGCGCGUCGACAGGGAGCAGCAGGUGACCAGCAGCAGUUCCACCUCCAACGAGAAGCCGGCCAAGCCCUCACGGCUCUCGGAGCGGGCCAAGAAGAAGUCCUGGUACAACGUCAUCUAUCCCAACUACAAGUCACGGGCCGAGGACUUUAAGAAGCUCUUCAAGGAUGUGCCCAACGAUGAGCGUCUGAUUGUGGAUUAUUCGUGUGCCCUGCAACGUGAUAUUUUAGUCCAGGGUCGAUUGUAUGUGUCACAGAACUACGUCUGCUUCCACGCCAACAUAUUCUCGUGGGAGACAUUCCUGAGCAUCAAGUGGAAGGAUGUAACGGCCAUUACCAAGGAGAAGACGGCCUUGGUGAUACCCAAUGCCAUUUCGAUAGCCAGCGGCAAGGACAAGUACUUCUUUGCCACGUUCACCUCGAGGGACAAGAGCUUCUUGAUGCUCUUCCGUGUCUGGCAGAACACGCUGAUGAACAAGCAGUUCUCGCCACAGGAGAUUUGGAAGUAUGUGCAUAGCUCCUACGGCGAGGAGCUGGGCCUAACCACCGACGACGAGGACUAUAUCGAUCCCACGCUGGACAACGGCAACGAGACGGACUUUGACUUCCAGACGGCCAUCGACGACGACAGUCAGUCGCAGCGCCAGUCGCAGCAGUCGAACCAGUCCACCCAGUCCAAUCCCCAGCUGCCCCACAGCGGCAACAGCAGCGCCAGCAGCGGCGGCGGUGCCAGCCGUGCCUCAGCGCCCCGCAAAUCUAAAACGAAAUACUUCUUCAACUCAUCCAAGUCCUCGGCCAACGCCUCGGCCAGCGGUUCGGACAACAACAAGACCAGGGAGAGUUCACGGAAACUCAACAAGAAGAUGAAACAGAACGCCAAAGAGUUGACGCUCAGCUCCGUGAAGCCGGCGGAGCAAUCGGUCAGUGUCACCAUGACCCAGGUGCCCCCAGCCAGUAGCAGCAGUACUGCCGGCUCCGCGACGAACACAUCCACCUCCUCCACAAUCGCCAAUCAUUCCGGUUCAGGAACGUUAACUGGUUCGGGAUCAGGCUCUGCCCCUGCAGCUCCUGCAGGUGGCAGCGAUAAGAAGAGUGCAGAAAAGAAAAUAAGUACGGUUUCCAGUUCAGGGGCAGCAGCGACGGCCGGGACGGCCUCAGUGUCCCACGUAGCUGGCACUUCAGGGUGUCCUGCGACGGAAUCCAAACUGGAGACCAAACGCAAGCUGAGCAAAAAUCACAAAAACGCCGAAGAGGCCGUGCCCACAGAUGUGUCCGACUCGUCGGACUCUGAAGCGAACAAUGUUCCAUUUGUGCCCACCACAGAAUGCACCUCCACGCACGAGGGCCGCCAGAUUGUUCACACCAUCCUGCCCAUCAACGUGGACACUCUGUUCAAUAUGCUCUUCAGUAAAUCCAAAUUCCUGACGGACUUCCAUGCCUCGCGCAAGUCCACCGACCUCAUAAUGGGCGAGUGGUCGAGGAACGAGGAGGGCCUGAAUGUACGAACCGUGAACGUCACGGUGCAGUUGGCCGCCUCCGUGGGUCCCAAGUCUUCAAAGGUAACUGAGUACCAGACCAUGCGGGAGUGCAGCAAGCCGGGGGAACUGUAUUCCAUAGACGUAAAUAGUGUAAAUGCAGGCAUUCCAUAUGCGGACAGUUUCAGUGUACUCAUCCACUUCUGUCUGGCCAGAACGGUGGAUGAUCACACGAUGUUGUCGGUGCACACCCAGAUCAAGUACAAGAAGUCGAUUUGGGGCGUUGUCAAGGGAUUCAUCGAGAAGAACACGUGGGCGGGGUUGGAGGACUUCUUCGGCUCCCAGCUGCACGCCCUGCAGAGUGAGACGUGCAUUCCGCCCGCCAAGGGCAAGGGACGUCGUCCGAGGAGAGGAACCGCCACACAAAUACGCCCCCUGGAGGAAGCAGGCGGCACGGCACAGCCGGGCAUUGCCGGCUUACCCGGCGACACCCUGGACACCCAGCCGCUCGUCCCCGGGGCUGCAGUCGGCGCCGCUCCCGGUCAUCCGCUGCUGCUCGAAGGCGGCAAGCUGCACCAGCAGUCCCAUCUCCACCACCAACAGCAGCCGCACCAACACCACCACCUACAGCAGCACCACCACCACCACAAGCAGCAGCAGCAGUUGCACCCGGGCGGCGACGACGACGGCCAGCCACUGGCGAUGGGUCAAGGGCAGGGUCACAGACUCGGUUUCAGAAACAGGGGCUUGUCGUUGUUGGUUAUUCUGUUGCUGUGCUUGAUGCUGGCAUUAAAUGUGAUAUUAUUACUUAAGCUCUGGAAGCUGGAGGAACGGAUUGACGUGGAUCUCAGUCGGCGGGCGCGACUGCCCAGCUUGGCGGCCUUAAAGGAGCUACCUAACACAAAUCAGGAAUGGCUGGAGCUGCUGCGCGAUCAGGAGAUUGCGCACGAAGCCGAGCUGGACAAAUGGCAGCAGGUGCUUCAGACUGCCAUCGAGUUGCUGAAAAAGGUGAGCAAUGUGUGCGAAAAGAUCUACAACGACGGCAAGCUGCGUCAGCGAAUCGAGUCGAUGUCGAUGCCGAUGCCGGCUCCGGCGCACAGUGAAUUCUAAGCGUCUCAUUAGGCCGUGAAUAACAUCAGUGCUACACCACCACCACCCACAUCAGGAACAGAAAUCAGCAAGCGACAGCUAAUUGCAACCUUAACACUCAUAAACCCCCACACACACACACAUGUAUACUUGCAGUGCGUUUCGAAAUUGUAAGACAUUUUGAUGCAGUCUUAGAAUAAGUCGAAGGAGUUUAGUUUUCUCUGGCAGCUAAUUGACACAAUAGUUUGUUCAUUAAAAGAGAAUGAAAAACCUUUCAGAAAAGUCUGUAAUUCAAAAUGCCUUAAAGCCAGGAAGCGCAGUGUUCUAGCGGACAUUUGUAACUGAUCUCUUAGUUAGUCUCUAGCAAUACACAAACCCGAAACUGUUGCAUGUCCUUCUCCCUCUGUUCAGGAAAUGAUUUCUCCACCGCUGACUGAACAACUACAGCCACCGGAGAAAUCAUUUCCUUAGCCAUAAGUUCUGUAUUCCGUAGAGAAAACUCAAGGCGAAGUCAUUUCGAUGUGUACCAUUUAUGAAAUUUAUAAGAACUGAAAUCAUGUUCGAACCAAAAUUCAAAAGUUCAGAAAGAGGCCAGUCCCACACACCCCCAGUCACAAAUUAUAAUUUUUACUGAAAGAACUUUGGCUGAAAUGAUUGUACGCUAAGCAACUAAUUAAAUUGAAAUUGAAAUUGUGCAACUAGCAUAUUAAUCCAAUCCAAUUGUCUUCGACACAAGAAAGCGAAAUACGCAAAGCACACUAGCCCUUGGCGAAGUGCAGAGCCACAAAAAAAAAAAACAAAAUUAAACAAGAAAAUCUGAAAUUGAAUUUAAAAUUCAACUAAAAUUUAGUCACAACCUACAUUGUGUAAGAAGCAAAUUAAGAAAAGAAAAGAAAAGAAACUAACUGUCAUUUUGAAACAUUUACGAUUAUGUUGUAGUAGUUUAAGAGAAGCAGAGUGUAAUCUAGCUCGUAGGUAGCUGCAUUUUAGUUAGAUUAGAGCAAUUGUAUGUUUUUAAUCGCGGCAUUUAUGUACGUGUAGCACCCGUCGUUUGCUUGACUUUGAUUUAGACGAAAGUUUCUACGAAUUCCUCAAGUAUUUCAUAUCUUACAACAUACCAAAAAUCGUAGCGAAUCAAGGAGCGAGCGCCCUGAAUUUUUGUUUUAGAAAAUUCAUUUACACGUCAGAGUGUCUAGUGUCGAGAGGCGAGAGUUGAGAUUUGAGAGUCGAGUAAGCGCAAAAGCUGGCCAAUAAAAGCCCAAUAAGUAUAAUUAAUGUAAUCUGUAGUUGCCACUGUUUUUUUGGCCAGAAAGAAUUUGAUAAAACCGUUUAUACAAAACUGUUUAUUGUGUACGAUAUUUUUGUAAACCAGUCGAAACAAUUGUGAGCAAUGUUUUGGUUCUUUUGUGAAACUCCUGCUACUAAGUCUACACCCCAGAACCGUACACAGAAAACGGAUUUAAAUAUUUAAAGCGCUAAGCCAGAUGAAAACCAAUAAUUGCGUACUCUAUAUACAUUAUAUAUAUGUUACAUAUAUAUGCAUAUAUAUAGCCAAGUAUUGUUAGUCGGUAGUAGUUGCAUUUUAAAUCAAUAAGAGAACCGAAAUUCAAGAAAGCUAAUUAAAGCAGUAACUCGUGCUAGUUUCGAAUGUGAAUCGCAUUAAAAGGAAUAUUAAGGUAAUUAGUUAAGGUCAUGCAUGUUGGUUAACCCAAAAAAACAGUCAAAUUUGAGCCUCAGCCGAGUGGGCUUACAAUUUUUGUCACAACCUAGACUUUUAAGAAACCGAAUGUUACGCCGCAGCAAAGAAAAUUCUAAUUUAUUAUAAAACCGAAUAAAGAAAACAAUGUGUUUAAUUGAC